RNAcentral lists this ribosomal RNA (481 nucleotides) under uncultured bacterium. RNAcentral's name for it is "partial 16S ribosomal RNA". It matches the Rfam family "Bacterial small subunit ribosomal RNA", at positions 29 to 523 of the family's 1533-position model. The record is from RNAcentral.
AAUGAACGUUGGCGGCGUGGAUUAGGCAUGCAAGUCGAGCGAGAACCCCGCAAGGGGGGACAGCGGCGCAAGGGACAGUAAUGUGUAGAUCAUCUGCCCUCAGGUCCGGGAUAGCUGCGGGAAACUGCAGGUAAUACCGGAUAACAUCUCCGGAUCAAAGGUGUGAUUCCGCCUGAGGAUGAGUCUGCAUCCUAUUAGCUAGUUGGCAGGGUAACGGCCUACCAAGGCAUUGAUGGGUAGCGGGUGUGAGAGCACGACCCGCGUCAUUGGGACUGAGACACUGCCCAGACACCUACGGGUGGCUGCAGUCGAGAAUCUUCGGCAAUGGGCGCAAGCCUGACCGAGCGACGCCGCGUGUGGGAUGAAGGCCUUCGGGUUGUAAACCACUGUCAGAGGGGAUGAAAUGCAAGAGGGUUCUCCCAUCUGUUUGACAUAGCCUCAGAGGAAGGACGGGCUAAGUUCGUGCCAGCAGCCGCGGUAA